CCUAGCGGCAGACGGGUGAGUAACAUGUGGGAAUCUGCCCUUUGGUACGGAAUAACACGAGGAAACUUGUGCUAAUACCGGAUAAGCCCUUACGGGGAAAGUUUUAAUGCCAAAAGAUGAGCCCGCAUUUGAUUAGCUAGUUGGUGAGGUAAAAGCUCACCAAGGCGAUAAUCAAUAGCUGAUUUGAGAGGAUGAUCAGCCACAUUGGGACUGAGACACGGCCCAGACUCC
Molecule: ribosomal RNA, 231 nt
Filed under: uncultured bacterium
Lineage: Bacteria
Description: partial 16S ribosomal RNA
Rfam family: Bacterial small subunit ribosomal RNA
Source: RNAcentral